This 275-nucleotide long non-coding RNA is filed under the name Homo sapiens (human). RNAcentral describes it as "non-protein coding lnc-SOAT2-1:1". Lineage: Eukaryota; Metazoa; Chordata; Mammalia; Primates; Hominidae. The record is from RNAcentral.
AUGUCAACAGACACAGGUGUUUCCCUUCCUUCAUAUGAGGAAGAUCAGGGAUCAAAACUUAUUGGAAAAGCUAAAGAGGCACCAUUUGUACCCGUUGGAAUAGCAGGUUUUGCAGCAAUUGUUGCAUAUGGAUUAUACAAACUGAAGAGCAGGGGAAAUACUAAAAUGUCCAUUCAUCUGAUCCACAUGCGUGUGGCAGCCCAAGGCUUUGUUGUAGGAGCAAUGACUGUUGGUAUGGGCUACUUCAUGUAUCGGGAAUUCUGGGCAAAACCUAA